CCCCUCUUCCUGUUCCUGUUGGCAGGUGUCUUUCUAAUGGUCAUUUACAUUCACACCCAAGUUUUAGACGGCCAAAGGAAAACAAUCAGUCUGCUACAGGAGCAAAUAGAAAAUGAGGGGAAGGACAAGAAGUUCUUAAUUACUAGUCUGCAGGCCAUCCAUGAGAAGAGGCAGUAUCCACUGUCCCCUUCCUCCAGGCCUCAGCCACAGGGCAGUGAGGUUUAAUAUGUUUUAGUGGAAGAUUAAAUUAUUCCAGAGUAUUCAUUGGAUGCUGCAUGUUAAAUUUUGGACUCCCAUCACAUCAAGGAUAUUUGGCUGCUAUCAACCAGUCAAAGUGAACUCAAAGUGGAGUGAUGUGUGUGUGUGUGUGGUGAAGGACAUUGAGACAUUUCUUGUAGAAUGUAACUAUGACUGAUAUGUGUUCAAGACUAUCGGAAUGUAAAGUAACUGAGGUUGAUAUCUAUUCAAGACUAUCAGAAUGUGAAGUAACUGAGACUGAUAUGUAUUCUAGACCAUCAAAAUGUGAAGUAACUGAGACUGAUAUGUAUUCAAGACCAUCCGAGGUGUGUUUUAUACUAGUAUGGUAGUAUAACUGUCUAAUUUGCCUUUUGUUAAUAUAUAUUUAUUGUAUCUAGGCUGCCUGUCACCGCUUUCAAGCUUCAAUGUAUACUGAACAAAAAUAUAAACGCAACAUGCAACAAUUUCAACGAUUUUACUGAGUUACAGUUUGUCAUGACGUUGCAGUCUUUGGGUACAGUGAGCACCCCUCCCUCUGCACCAGCCCUUUUCUAUGCACCAUCCCCCUACCCCCCUGUGUCCUACACCCAGGCUGCUGUGGUCAGAGAGAGGUUGUAAAUUCCUGGAGGAGAUUAUCUCCUCAUGGCCACAGUAUAAAGACAGAGUGAGUUUUC
Long non-coding RNA from Oncorhynchus tshawytscha (Chinook salmon), 911 nucleotides. RefSeq lists it as uncharacterized. The transcript is spliced from 4 exons. Lineage: Eukaryota; Metazoa; Chordata; Actinopteri; Salmoniformes; Salmonidae. The record is from RefSeq and is a predicted model, not a curated record.